This is a long non-coding RNA of Gopherus evgoodei (Goodes thornscrub tortoise), 2080 nucleotides long. RefSeq lists it as uncharacterized. Lineage: Eukaryota; Metazoa; Chordata; Testudines; Testudinidae. The record is from RefSeq and is a predicted model, not a curated record. The transcript is spliced from 3 exons.
GCUGUGGGGCUCCGCUUCCUGCCACUGGCGACUCUGGGGGGAACCGUCCCCUACCCCCCCUCCUGAGCGAGAUGGCUGGAGCCAGGGCAAGGGAAGCAGAGUGGGCUGGGGCUGCAUUGCUUCACUUCCCGCCACCGGCAAGUGUGGGGGGCGAUCCCUUCCCCAACCUCCCCACACUUACCAGCGGCAGGAAGCGGAGCGCCGCGGCUGGGAGCUAGCAGAGUAGAGCGAGCUGGGGCUGGGCUGCUCUGCUUCCUGCCACUGCUGGUAUAUUUUUGGCCAAAAUUAUGAGUGGGAACCAGAAGCAAAUAAAAGCCUGUUUCAUUUCAGGUAACAAUGCUGUAUGGUGGUGGGAGGAAGACGAGAUAAUGUUUAAGUGAUUUAGGAAUCCAGGUGGAUGAAGGAGCAUCUGUGUAACUUGAGGUGGUCCUUCCAGCUCUUCCUAUCAUCACAGGUCUGUCAGUGCCAUAUCCACUCUUUCAUUACUGUGCCUGCAGAGGAAUGUGGAAGAGAACUCAAAAGUCCAACCUGGAGCGUCAGUAUUUUAUGUUUCCAAGGCAACAUCCGCUUUAACAGCCUUGAUAAUGACAUUAUUUGGUUGAAAGGAGCAUGUAUGAUCUUUUGAUUACCACUGGAAGUAUGAAUUAGGUUACUCUCUCCAUACCCUUGAAAAAUAAAUGCACUGGGGAAAAAAAAUUCACAAGAGGGUAAAUGGAAAAAUCAGUUUUUACGUUUAAUGGAGUCUUCAGUUCAACAUUUCUUCUCUUUAUAUAUUUAGAUAACAUGCAUUCCUCAGUGAUAUCUUAGUUUCACAGAGCAAAGAAAUUAAUUACUUACUAAUGUGCAAUUCAGAAAUUAAUUUAUGUUAUCAAUAUCAUUUUAAAUAUGUCAUUAUUAAUCAAUGUAAAUGAAACAGCCUAUAAACUGGAUGCAGUAUAACCUGAUUUGUGCUGAGGCUGCAGGUUAUCAGCUCCAAGGAACACAAUGACAGUGCAGUCACUAAGGAAAGGAGGGGCAAUCCAGUGUCAAACACAGAAAAAAACAAUAUUCCACACUCCUUGCAGACUACGGAAAAUCCCAAUCAUUAUAAUGGUAGAGUGGAUGGUGAAGUGGCAAGGUUGGGAUCUUGCAGCACAACAUUUUCCUAACACACUCCACCCACACCUCCCACCCCCAAACCCCACCCCAAGCUAAAAGUUGGACUGAAAUGUUUUUCUUCCUAGUGGACCAUACAGAGAAAAGUUCCCCCUGUCCCAUCAACACACUAGCACAAUGGAAUUCUGGUCAAUGACUGGGGGUUCUAGGUUCUACUGCAAUACAAAUAAUAUGGACAAGAACCAUCAGUAUGGACCAGACAAUUAUUUUCAUAAACAUCUCACAUCCUGAUCUGAACAUGGAUUCAAAACUCCAGAAUGUUGUUUUUUCUGUAUUCCCCUCUGUCAGAGGGGCAGAGGACAGUGCCCAUGUGUAAAUAAACCUGUACUAUCUGACUGUGUCUCAGUCUUUGUGAACAUCUAUUUCUGUAUAUGUUUGUUAACUUUAAUGCCUGGAUACAGUGUUUGGGCUUGAUUUACCCCAUUGUUACAAACUGUAUCCCAGCAACAGCAGUGGGUGGAGAAAGCCCUGCAAAGGUUUCUGGAGUUUUAAUACAUAUAGUCACAUGCAACAAAUAUGUACACAUACCUUGGUAUUUAAUAGGGUUGCAUAAAACAUUGCAGAAAAAAAGUUUGCAAACAUAUUUGCAAUUUAAGGCUCCGCUUUAACAAAGUGUUUAAACAUAUGCCUAACUUUAACCAUUUGAGCUGUCCCAAGGGGCCUCAGGUUCAGAACCUUACUGAAGAUUUACCUUGACUUCCUUGAAAGGGUUUCAUGGAGUAUAAUCUCGGGCAGAAUUUGGUCAGUUCAGUAUAUGGUAUUAGUCACAGCCCAGCAUGCUCAGAUUCUUUAUGCUGUCACAAUUCUCUUUCACAUAAUUAAAACAAAUUGAUAUGGUUCCUCCCCCUUCCCAUUCUGCUGUGUGGUCUGGUACACAUAUGUGCGUGAGAGAGUGUUUGGAUGGAUAAGAAUACACCUAAAAGUA